RNAcentral lists this non-coding RNA (148 nucleotides) under Pan paniscus (pygmy chimpanzee). Lineage: Eukaryota; Metazoa; Chordata; Mammalia; Primates; Hominidae. The record is from Rfam by way of RNAcentral. RNAcentral also lists the same sequence under 1 other name.
GCUGGGCGUGGUGGUGGGUGCCUGUAAUCCCAGCUACUCAGGAGGCUGAGGUAGGAGAAUUGCUUGAGCCCAGGAAGCAGAGGUUGCAGUGAGCCGAGACUGUGCCACUGCACUCCAGCCUGGGCAACAGAGCAAGACUCCAUCUCAA